AUACGUAGGGAGCGAGCGUUGUCCGGAAUUACUGGGUGUAAAGGGAGCGUAGGCGGGAGUGCAAGUCAGAUGUGAAAUACAUGGGCUCAACCCAUGGGCUGCAUUUGAAACUGCAUUUCUUGAGUGAAGUAGAGGUAAGCGGAAUUCCUGGUGUAGCGGUGAAAUGCGUAGAUAUCAGGAGGAACACCGGUGGCGAAGGCGGCUUACUGGGCUUUUACUGACGCUGAGGCUCGAAAGCGUGGGGAGCAAACAGGAUUAAAUACCCUGGUAGUCCACGCUGUAAACGAUGAUUACUAGGUGUGGGGGGACUGACCCCUUCCGUGCCGCAGUUAACACAAUAAGUAAUCCACCUGGGGAGUACGGCCGCAAGGUUGAAACUCAAAUGAAUUGACGGGG
RNAcentral lists this ribosomal RNA (396 nucleotides) under uncultured bacterium. RNAcentral describes it as "partial 16S ribosomal RNA". It matches the Rfam family "Bacterial small subunit ribosomal RNA", at positions 523 to 918 of the family's 1533-position model. The record is from RNAcentral.